UUGGCUAUCUAGUUAUCAUAUUUAGCAAAAUUAUCUGUUGAGUGUUGGAAUAAAUGUUUUAGAUAUUUAAUCAAACUGCAGAGUAUUUUCGGAUCGACCAUAUGCUAAACAAUCGAUCGAUCCGUAAAAAAAUGGUCGAUCUCCUUAGCCAGGUAAGUACAAUUUUAGCAAAAAUAUCUUUGAUUUUUAAAUAUUAAGUAUAUAACUAUUCUUUUGAAUAUUGUUUUUUUGAAUUGUAUUUUCUGAUUAAGUCAUUGUAUUAUAAUGUUUAUGUAAAUAUUUUUUUGUGAU
Molecule: long non-coding RNA, 291 nt
Filed under: Brassica napus (rape)
Lineage: Eukaryota; Viridiplantae; Streptophyta; Magnoliopsida; Brassicales; Brassicaceae
Description: long non-coding RNA (BNAP_LNC006364)
Source: RNAcentral